GCUGAUCAGUGGACUCCGCCACCGAGUGGUUUCUGCAAGAUAAAUGUUGACGCGGCUGUAGCAAAAGCAUCGAGUAGAGGAGCGGUGACCGAUGUUUGUCGCGACGAUCAGGGUGUCUUUCAUGGCGCUUCGGUGGUGAUUUUUGAGGGCAUCAUAGAACCAGAGACGUUGGAGGCAUUGGCAUGUAGAGAAGCACGGGCGCUUGGCGGUGAUCUGCACUUAAAAAAACUUCAGAUAUCACUUGACUGUCUGAGAGGCAUCAGAGAGCUGCAGGCGACAACAAACUCCGGCGUUCAUUGUAUGAUCAUGAAGGCCCGGAAACUUCUUUUUCGCCAUGUGAUAUAUGCCAUGAACGGUGUGCGUGUAAUAAGGAGGCUCACAAUUUAG
This 387-nucleotide ribosomal RNA is filed under the name Triticum aestivum (bread wheat). RNAcentral describes it as "partial small subunit ribosomal RNA". Lineage: Eukaryota; Viridiplantae; Streptophyta; Magnoliopsida; Poales; Poaceae. The record is from RNAcentral.